GACAGAGGUGCCGAGCGUUAGGCGGAAUCACUGGGCGUAAAGGGAGCGUAGGCGGGAGCCUAAGUUGGGUGUUUAAUUCCGGGGCCCAACCCCGGGCAGGCACUCAAAACUGGGUUUCUUGAAUAGGGGAGAGGUCGGUGGAAUUGGAGGUGUAGCGGUGGAAUGCGUAGAGAUCUCCAAGAACACCAGUUGCGAAGGCGGCCGACUGGACCCAUAUUGACGCUGAGGCUCGAAAGCAUGGGGAGCAAACAAG
Molecule: ribosomal RNA, 253 nt
Filed under: uncultured bacterium
Lineage: Bacteria
Description: partial 16S ribosomal RNA
Rfam family: Bacterial small subunit ribosomal RNA
Source: RNAcentral